GUGCCCACACUGGCAGUACCCAUGCUAAAAUUGCAACCAUACAGAGAUUAGCAUGGCCCCUGUGCAAGGGUGACACAGGGAUUUGAGAAGCACUCACAUUUUUU
Heterocephalus glaber (naked mole-rat) is the source of this 104-nucleotide small nuclear RNA. NCBI's taxonomy places the organism in Eukaryota, Metazoa, Chordata, Mammalia, Rodentia, Bathyergidae. The record is from Ensembl.